RNAcentral lists this ribosomal RNA (36 nucleotides) under Schizophyllum commune. Its description in RNAcentral is "partial 18S ribosomal RNA". Lineage: Eukaryota; Fungi; Basidiomycota; Agaricomycetes; Agaricales; Schizophyllaceae. The record is from RNAcentral.
UCCUUUUCCGUAGGGUUCCCUGCGGAAGGAUCAUUA